This 491-nucleotide ribosomal RNA is filed under the name Hepatozoon sp. Its description in RNAcentral is "bacterial SSU rRNA". It matches the Rfam family "Eukaryotic small subunit ribosomal RNA", at positions 540 to 1026 of the family's 1831-position model. Lineage: Eukaryota; Apicomplexa; Hepatozoidae. The record is from RNAcentral.
AGUAUCAAUUGGAGGGCAAGUCUGGUGCCAGCAGCCGCGGUAAUUCCAGCUCCAAUAGCGUAUAUUAAAAUUGUUGCAGUUAAAAAGCUCGUAGUUGAAUUUUUGCUAAAAAUAACCGGUCUGCUUUUAUUAUUAAAAGUGGUAUCUUGGUGUGUUUUUAGCAAUAAUGUCCUUUGAAAUGUUUUUUACUUUAUUGUGAGAAGCAAUUUUCAGGAUUUUUACUUUGAGAAAAUUAGAGUGUUUCAAGCAGGCUAACGUUUUGAAUACUGCAGCAUGGAAUAAUAAAAUAGGAUUUUAGUUCUACGUUAUUGGUUUUAAGAACUAAAUUAAUGAUUGAUAGGAGCAGUUGGGGGCAUUUGUAUUUAACUGUCAGAGGUGAAAUUCUUAGAUUUGUUAAAGACACACUACUGCGAAAGCAUUUGCCAAAGAUGUUUUCAUUAAUCAAGAACGAAAGUUAGGGGAUCGAAGACGAUCAGAUACCGUCGUAGUCC